CGGAUGCGAUCAUACCAGCACUAAAGCACCGGAUCCCAUCAGAACUCCGCAGUUAAGCGUGCUUGGGCGAGAGUAGUACUAGGAUGGGUGACCUCCUGGGAAGUCCUCGUGUUGCAUUCCU
This 121-nucleotide ribosomal RNA is filed under the name Zea mays. The record is from RNAcentral. Lineage: Eukaryota; Viridiplantae; Streptophyta; Magnoliopsida; Poales; Poaceae.